RNAcentral lists this ribosomal RNA (391 nucleotides) under uncultured bacterium. RNAcentral's name for it is "bacterial SSU rRNA". It matches the Rfam family "Bacterial small subunit ribosomal RNA", at positions 28 to 420 of the family's 1533-position model. The record is from RNAcentral.
GAUGAACGCUAGCGGCAGGCCUAAUACAUGCAAGUCGAACGGUAAGGCCCUUUCGGGGGUACACGAGUGGCGGACGGGUGCGUAACGCGUAUGCAACAUGCCUUCCAGCGGGGGAUAUACCAGGGAAACUUGGCGCAAUACCCCAUAGAAUUACGGGACCGCAUGGUCUUGUGAUUAAAACUCCGGUGCUGGGAGAUUGGCAUGCGUGACAUUAGCUAGUUGGCGGGGUAACGGCCCACCAAGGCGACGAUGUCUAGCUGGUCUGAGAGGAUGAUCAGCCACACUGGGACUGAGACACGGCCCAGACUCCUACGGGAGGCAGCAGUAGGGAAUAUUGGACAAUGGGGGGAACCCUGAUCCAGCCAUGCCGCGUGAGGGAAGAAGGCCUCGG